Molecule: long non-coding RNA, 213 nt
Organism: Cervus elaphus (red deer)
Lineage: Eukaryota; Metazoa; Chordata; Mammalia; Artiodactyla; Cervidae
Exons: 3
Source: RefSeq, a predicted model, not a curated record
AUUUUUUCAUCUAUGUUCACUCAGUCAUAAUUUUGCCUGUAGUUUUCUUUUUUUGUCGCAUCUUUGUCUGGUUUUGGUAUUAGGGUUUUGGUGGCCUCGUUGAAUGAGUUUUGAAGUUUGCCUUCCGCUGCAAUUUUCUGGAAGAGUUUGAGUAGCAUAGGUAUUAGCUCUUCUCUAAAUUUUUGGUAGGAUUCAGCUGUGAAGCUGUCUGGU